GAUGAACGCUGGCGGCGUGCCUAAUACAUGCAAGUCGAGCGAACAGAUGAGGAGCUUGCUCCUCUGACGUUAGCGGCGGACGGGUGAGUAACACGUGGAUAACCUACCCAUAAGACUGGGAUAACUUCGGGAAACCGGAGCUAAUACCGGAUAAUAUAUUGAACCGCAUGGUUCAAUAGUGAAAGACGGUUUUGCUGUCACUUAUAGAUGGAUCCGCGCUGCAUUAGCUAGUUGGUAAGGUAACGGCUUACCAAGGCAACGAUGCGUAGCCGACCUGAGAGGGUGAUCGGCCACACUGGAACUGAGACACGGUCCAGACUCCUACGGGAGGCAGCAGUAGGGAAUCUUCCGCAAUGGGCGAAAGCCUGACGGAGCAACGCCGCGUGAGUGAUGAAGGUCUUCGGAUCGUAAAACUCUGUUAUUAGGGAAGAACAAAUGUGUAAGUAACUAUGCACGUCUUGACGGUACCUAAUCAGAAAGCCACGGCUAACUACGUG
This 497-nucleotide ribosomal RNA is filed under the name uncultured bacterium. RNAcentral describes it as "partial 16S ribosomal RNA". It matches the Rfam family "Bacterial small subunit ribosomal RNA", at positions 28 to 507 of the family's 1533-position model. The record is from RNAcentral.